UUCUGUAAGCCGUUGAAGGUGGCCUGUGAGGGUUGCUGGAGGUAUCAGAAGUGCGAAUGCUGACAUAAGUAACGAUAAAGCGGGUGAAAAGCCCGCUCGCCGGAAGACCAAGGGUUCCUGUCCAACGUUAAUCGGGGCAGGGUGAGUCGACCCCUAAGGCGAGGCUGAAAAGCGUAGUCGAUGGGAAACAGGUUAAUAUUCCUGUACUUGGUGUUACUGCGAAGG
Molecule: ribosomal RNA, 225 nt
Filed under: Serratia marcescens
Lineage: Bacteria; Pseudomonadati; Pseudomonadota; Gammaproteobacteria; Enterobacterales; Yersiniaceae
Description: partial 23S ribosomal RNA
Rfam family: Bacterial large subunit ribosomal RNA
Source: RNAcentral